This 484-nucleotide ribosomal RNA is filed under the name uncultured bacterium. RNAcentral's name for it is "partial 16S ribosomal RNA". It matches the Rfam family "Bacterial small subunit ribosomal RNA", at positions 30 to 507 of the family's 1533-position model. The record is from RNAcentral.
AUUGAACGCUGGCGGCAGGCCUAACACAUGCAAGUCGAGCGGAUGAAGGGAGCUUGCUCCUGGAUUCAGCGGCGGACGGGUGAGUAAUGCCUAGGAAUCUGCCUGGUAGUGGGGGAUAACGUCCGGAAACGGGCGCUAAUACCGCAUACGUCCUGAGGGAGAAAGUGGGGGAUCUUCGGACCUCACGCUAUCAUAUGAGCCUAGGUCGGAUUAGCUAGUUGGUGGGGUAAAGGCCUACCAAGGCGACGAUCCGUAACUGGUCUGAGAGGAUGAUCAGUCACACUGGAACUGAGACACGGUACAGAAGACUACGGGAGGCAGCAGUGGGGAAUAUUGGACAAUGGGCGAAAGCAUGAUCCAGCCAUGCCGAGUGUGUGAAGAAGGUCUUCGGAUUGUAAAGCACUUUAAGUUGGGAGGAAGGGAAGUAAGUUAAUACCUUGCUGUUUUGACGUUACCAACAGAAUAAGCACCGGCUAACUUCGUG